AAGGCAGCAGUAGGGAAUCUUCCGCAAUGGACGAAAGUCUGACGGAGCAACGCCGCGUGAGCGAAGAAGGCCUUCGGGUCGUAAAGCUCUGUUGUAAGGGAAGAACAAGCAUCGGUUAACUGCCGGUGCCCUGACGGUACCUUACCAGAAAGCCACGGCUAACUACGUGCCAGCAGCCGCGGUAAUACGUAGGUGGCAAGCGUUGUCCGGAAUUAUUGGGCGUAAAGCGCGCGCAGGCGGUUUCUUAAGUCUGAUGUGAAAGCCCACGGCUCAACCGUGGAGGGUCAUUGGAAACUGGGAGACUUGAGUGCAGAAGAGGAAAGCGGAAUUCCACGUGUAGCGGUGAAAUGCGUAGAGAUGUGGAGGAACACCAGUGGCGAAGGCGGCUUUCUGGUCUGUAACUGACGCUGAGGCGCGAAAGCGUGGGGAGCAAACAGGAUUAGAUACCCUGGUAGUCCACGCCGUAAACGAUGAGUGCUAAGUGUUAGGGGGUUUCCGCCCCUUAGUGCUGCAGCUAACGCAUUAAGCACUCCGCCUGGGGAGUACGGCCGCAAGGCUGAACUCAG
RNAcentral lists this ribosomal RNA (566 nucleotides) under uncultured bacterium. Its description in RNAcentral is "bacterial SSU rRNA". It matches the Rfam family "Bacterial small subunit ribosomal RNA", at positions 345 to 904 of the family's 1533-position model. The record is from RNAcentral.